GUGGGGAAUUUUGGACAAUGGGCGCAAGCCUGAUCCAGCAAUGCCGCGUGCAGGAAGAAGGCCUUCGGGUUGUAAACUGCUUUUGUACGGAACGAAACGGUCCUGGUUAAUACCUGGGGCUAAUGACGGUACCGUAAGAAUAAGCACCGGCUAACUACGUGCCAGCAGCCGCGGUAAUACGUAGGGUGCGAGCGUUAAUCGGAAUUACUGGGCGUAAAGCGUGCGCAGGCGGUGCUGUAAGACAGGCGUGAACUCCCCGGGCUCAACCUGGGAAUUGCGCUUGUGACUGCAGUGCUGGAGUACGGCAGAGGGGGAUGGAAUUCCGCGUGUAGCAGUGAAAUGCGUAGAUAUGCGGAGGAACACCGAUGGCGAAGGCAGUCCCCUGGGCCUGUACUGACGCUCAUGCACGAAAGCGUGGGGAGCAAACAGGAUUAGAAACCCUGGUAGUCC
This 450-nucleotide ribosomal RNA is filed under the name uncultured bacterium. RNAcentral describes it as "partial 16S ribosomal RNA". It matches the Rfam family "Bacterial small subunit ribosomal RNA", at positions 354 to 796 of the family's 1533-position model. The record is from RNAcentral.